Molecule: ribosomal RNA, 2882 nt
Filed under: Burkholderia contaminans
Lineage: Bacteria; Pseudomonadati; Pseudomonadota; Betaproteobacteria; Burkholderiales; Burkholderiaceae
Also listed under: 1 other name
Description: 23S ribosomal RNA
Rfam family: Bacterial large subunit ribosomal RNA
Source: RNAcentral
GGUCAAGCGAACAAGUGCAUGUGGUGGAUGCCUUGGCGAUCACAGGCGAUGAAGGACGCGGUAGCCUGCGAAAAGCUACGGGGAGCUGGCAAACAAGCUUUGAUCCGUAGAUGUCCGAAUGGGGAAACCCACUCCUUUUGGAGUAUCCAUGGCUGAAUACAUAGGCCAUGUGAAGCGAACGCGGUGAACUGAAACAUCUAAGUAACCGCAGGAAAAGAAAUCAACCGAGAUUCCCAAAGUAGUGGCGAGCGAAAUGGGAUGAGCCUUGCACUCUUUAUUUGUAUUGUUAGCCGAACGCUCUGGAAAGUGCGGCCAUAGCAGGUGAUAGCCCUGUAGGCGAAAACAGUAUGAAAGAACUAGGUGUGCGACAAGUAGGGCGGGACACGUGAAAUCCUGUCUGAAGAUGGGGGGACCAUCCUCCAAGGCUAAAUACUCGUGAUCGACCGAUAGUGAACCAGUACCGUGAGGGAAAGGCGAAAAGAACCCCGGGAGGGGAGUGAAAUAGAUCCUGAAACCGCAUGCAUACAAACAGUCGGAGCCUCGUAAGGGGUGACGGCGUACCUUUUGUAUAAUGGGUCAGCGACUUACGUUCAGUAGCAAGCUUAACCGUAUAGGGCAGGCGUAGCGAAAGCGAGUCCGAAUAGGGCGUUCAGUUGCUGGGCGUAGACCCGAAACCAGGUGAUCUAUCCAUGGCCAGGAUGAAGGUGCGGUAACACGUACUGGAGGUCCGAACCCACUAACGUUGAAAAGUUAGGGGAUGAGCUGUGGAUAGGGGUGAAAGGCUAAACAAACCUGGAAAUAGCUGGUUCUCUCCGAAAACUAUUUAGGUAGUGCCUCGUGUCUCACCUUCGGGGGUAGAGCACUGUCAUGGUUGGGGGGUCUAUUGCAGAUUACCCCGCCAUAGCAAACUCCGAAUACCGAAGAGUGCAAUCACGGGAGACAGACAUCGGGUGCUAACGUCCGGUGUCAAGAGGGAAACAACCCAGACCGCCAGCUAAGGUCCCCAAAUAUAGCUAAGUGGGAAACGAAGUGGGAAGGCUAAAACAGUCAGGAGGUUGGCUUAGAAGCAGCCACCCUUUAAAGAAAGCGUAAUAGCUCACUGAUCGAGUCGUCCUGCGCGGAAGAUGUAACGGGGCUAAGCUAUAUACCGAAGCUGCGGAUGCGUGCUUAGCACGCAUGGUAGGAGAGCGUUCCGUAAGCCUGCGAAGGUGCCUUGUAAAGGGUGCUGGAGGUAUCGGAAGUGCGAAUGCUGACAUGAGUAGCGAUAAAGGGGGUGAAAGGCCCCCUCGCCGUAAGCCCAAGGUUUCCUACGCAACGUUCAUCGGCGUAGGGUGAGUCGGCCCCUAAGGCGAGGCAGAAAUGCGUAGCUGAUGGGAAGCAGGUCAAUAUUCCUGCACCAUUGUUAGAUGCGAUGGGGGGACGGAUCGCGGAAGGUUGUCCGGGUGUUGGAAGUCCCGGUCGCUGCAUUGGAGAAGGCGCUUAGGCAAAUCCGGGCGCGGAAUUCAAGGGUGUGGCGCGAGCUCCUUAGGGAGCGAAGCAAUUGGAAGUGGUUCCAAGAAAAGCCUCUAAGCUUCAGUCUAACGAUGACCGUACCGCAAACCGACACAGGUGGGCGAGAUGAGUAUUCUAAGGCGCUUGAGAGAACUCGGGAGAAGGAACUCGGCAAAUUGGUACCGUAACUUCGGGAUAAGGUACGCCCUUGUAGCUUGACUGGCUUGCGCCAGAAGGGUGAAGGGGUUGCAAUAAACUGGUGGCUGCGACUGUUUAAUAAAAACACAGCACUCUGCAAACACGAAAGUGGACGUAUAGGGUGUGACGCCUGCCCGGUGCCGGAAGAUUAAAUGAUGGGGUGCAAGCUCUUGAUUGAAGUCCCGGUAAACGGCGGCCGUAACUAUAACGGUCCUAAGGUAGCGAAAUUCCUUGUCGGGUAAGUUCCGACCUGCACGAAUGGCGUAACGAUGGCCACACUGUCUCCUCCCGAGACUCAGCGAAGUUGAAGUGUUUGUGAUGAUGCAAUCUACCCGCGGCUAGACGGAAAGACCCCAUGAACCUUUACUGUAGCUUUGCAUUGGACUUUGAACCGAUCUGUGUAGGAUAGGUGGGAGGCUAUGAAACCGGAACGCUAGUUUCGGUGGAGCCGUCCUUGAAAUACCACCCUGGUUUGUUUGAGGUUCUAACCUUGGCCCGUGAUCCGGGUCGGGGACAGUGCAUGGUAGGCAGUUUGACUGGGGCGGUCUCCUCCCAAAGCGUAACGGAGGAGUACGAAGGUACGCUAGGUACGGUCGGAAAUCGUGCUGAUAGUGCAAUGGCAUAAGCGUGCUUAACUGCGAGACCGACAAGUCGAGCAGGUGCGAAAGCAGGUCAUAGUGAUCCGGUGGUUCUGUAUGGAAGGGCCAUCGCUCAACGGAUAAAAGGUACUCUGGGGAUAACAGGCUGAUACCGCCCAAGAGUUCAUAUCGACGGCGGUGUUUGGCACCUCGAUGUCGGCUCAUCUCAUCCUGGGGCUGUAGCCGGUCCCAAGGGUAUGGCUGUUCGCCAUUUAAAGAGGUACGUGAGCUGGGUUUAAAACGUCGUGAGACAGUUUGGUCCCUAUCUGCCGUGGGCGUUGGAUAUUUGAAGGGGGCUGCUCCUAGUACGAGAGGACCGGAGUGGACGAACCUCUGGUGUACCGGUUGUCACGCCAGUGGCAUCGCCGGGUAGCUAUGUUCGGAAGAGAUAACCGCUGAAAGCAUCUAAGCGGGAAACUCGCCUUAAGAUGAGAUAUCCCUGGGGACUAGAUCCCCUUGAAGGGUCGUUCGAGACCAGGACGUUGAUAGGUCAGGUGUGUAAGCGCAGUAAUGCGUUCAGCUAACUGAUACUAAUUGCCCGUAAGGCUUGAUCCU